RNAcentral lists this ribosomal RNA (368 nucleotides) under uncultured Coprococcus sp. RNAcentral describes it as "partial 16S ribosomal RNA". The record is from RNAcentral. Lineage: Bacteria; Bacillati; Bacillota; Clostridia; Lachnospirales; Lachnospiraceae.
GGAGUUUGGGCCGUGUCUCAGUCCCAAUGUGGCCGUACACCCUCUCAGGCCGGCUACUGAUCGUCGCCUUGGUGGGCCGUUACCUCACCAACUAGCUAAUCAGACGCGGGUCCAUCUCACACCACCGGAGUUUUUCACACCAUACCAUGCGGUAUUGUGCGCUUAUGCGGUAUUAACAGUCGUUUCCAACUGUUAUCCCCCUGUGUGAGGCAGGUUACCCACGCGUUACUCACCCGUCCGCCACUAAGUAUUCCAACCUUGAGUCAAUCAGAAGCAAGCUUCGUCAAUCCUCGGGAGGAAUACUCCGUUCGACUUGCAUGUGUUAAGCACGCCGCCAGCGUUUAUCCUGAGCCACGGAUCAAACUACU